Molecule: ribosomal RNA, 496 nt
Filed under: uncultured Glomus
Lineage: Eukaryota; Fungi; Glomeromycota; Glomeromycetes; Glomerales; Glomeraceae
Description: SSU rRNA
Rfam family: Eukaryotic small subunit ribosomal RNA
Source: RNAcentral
AGCAGCCGCGGUAAUUCCAGCUCCAAUAGCGUACAUUAAAGUUGUUGCAGUUAAAAAGCUCGUAGUUGAAUUUCGGGAUCAGUGGGUCGGUCGUGCCACUGGUAUGCACUGGCCCUACUGGUUCCUCCUUCUUGAAGAACUGUAAUGCCAUUAAUUUGGUGUUGCAGGGAAACAGGACUGUUACUUUGAAAAAAUUAGAGUGUUUAAAGCAGGCAAUCGCUUGAAUACAUUAGCAUGGAAUAAUGAAAUAGGACGAUCGAUCCUAUUUUGUUGGUUUCUAGGAUUGACGUAAUGAUUAAUAGGGAUAGUUGGGGGCAUUAGUAUUCAAUUGUCAGAGGUGAAAUUCUUGGAUUUAUUGAAGACUAACUACUGCGAAAGCAUUUGCCAAGGAUGUUUUCAUUAAUCAAGAACGAAAGUUAGGGGAUCGAAGACGAUCAGAUACCGUCGUAGUCUUAACCAUAAACUAUGCCGACUAGGGAUCGGAUGAUGUUAAUUU